GGGGACGUGGCGAAAUAGGUAGACGCACCGGACUUAAAAUCCGUUGGAGCAAUCCGUGCCGGUUCAAGUCCGGCCGUCCCUA
This 82-nucleotide transfer RNA is filed under the name Candidatus Phycosocius bacilliformis. It matches the Rfam family "tRNA". From Rfam's summary of the family: Transfer RNA (tRNA) molecules are approximately 80 nucleotides in length. Their secondary structure includes four short double-helical elements and three loops (D, anti-codon, and T loops). Lineage: Bacteria; Pseudomonadati; Pseudomonadota; Alphaproteobacteria; Caulobacterales. RNAcentral also lists the same sequence under 1 other name. The record is from Rfam by way of RNAcentral.